UCGUUGUCUGUUCGGUGGCAG
RNAcentral lists this microRNA (21 nucleotides) under Gallus gallus (chicken). RNAcentral describes it as "gga-miR-1772-3p". The record is from miRBase by way of RNAcentral. Lineage: Eukaryota; Metazoa; Chordata; Aves; Galliformes; Phasianidae.